UGCGCAGGCGGUGAGUUAAGUCUGCUGUGAAAGCCCCGGGCUCAACCUGGGAAUGGCAGUGGAAACUGGCUCGCUGGAGUGUGGCAGAGGGGGGUGGAAUUCCGCGUGUAGCAGUGAAAUGCGUAGAGAUGCGGAGGAACACCGAUGGCGAAGGCAGCCCCCUGGGCCAACACUGACGCUCAGGCACGAAAGCGUGGGGAGCAAACAGGAUUAGAUACCCUGGUAGUCCACGCCCUAAACGAUGGCAACUGGGUGUUGGGGAAGCGAUUCCUUGGUACCGUAGCUAACGCGUGAAGUUGCCCGCCUGGGGAGUACGGCCGCAAGGUUAAA
RNAcentral lists this ribosomal RNA (330 nucleotides) under uncultured bacterium. Its description in RNAcentral is "bacterial SSU rRNA". It matches the Rfam family "Bacterial small subunit ribosomal RNA", at positions 568 to 898 of the family's 1533-position model. The record is from RNAcentral.